Molecule: long non-coding RNA, 1202 nt
Organism: Cyprinus carpio (common carp)
Lineage: Eukaryota; Metazoa; Chordata; Actinopteri; Cypriniformes; Cyprinidae
Source: Ensembl
CUUGUUUUUGAAAGAAGUCUUAUAUGCUCUCCAAGGCUGUAAUUGUUCAAUACAGUAAUACAGUGAGAACCGCAAUAUUGUGAAGGAUCAUGUGACACUAAAGACUGUAUUAAUGAUUGCUUAAGCUUGGCCAUGACAAGGAAUAAAUUACAUUUUCAAAUAAAACAGAAAAUCAUUAUUUUAAGUCAAUAUUGCUGUUUUUACUGUAUUUUUAUUUAGAUAAUUGCAACCUUGGUGAGCAUAAGAGACUUAAAAACAUCUUUAAAACAUCUUAAUGAUUCCAAACUUUGGACAUGUUUAUAUAUCUUAUAAUAUACCUUUUAGCUUAACAAGGCACUGGCCGCUGCAAAAAAAAAAAAAAAAAAAAAAAAAAAAAAAAUAUCUAGGUGACUGAUGCAUUUUCCUCCCUUUCUUCCUCUCAUUGAGCCACUAGCAAAAGCAGAAAUGUUGAAUGAGGUGGGUGGCCUCAGUAAAUAAGGGGGCCUCUGUCUCUCACUCUUUCACUUUAUUCAUGCCACGUGAGCAUCUCUGAGGCCAUUGAGUUCAUAUGGAGUGCUGCAUUGAGACCAGGCUUGGUCACCGCCCACUUUUUUUACUCUCUUUUUCUCCCGCAGCGUGGCGGCUUUGGGAGGGGCCGCACUCAGAGACACGCAGUGGCAGCACCAGACAGUGAAGCUGACACAAAUGAGACUUCCCUGAUGUGUGGGGGUUUGUGUGAGACUGACAGACAGAGAGAGAAAUUAGAGAAGGUAGUUGUGCCUGAGAGUUGUAGGUCUGUGUGCACCUUUGCAUUUGCUUGGCAUCAUUACCACCUGUCCUGCUGAAUGUCUAGGCUGGAAACAUCCAACAGUUCCCACCUUCUGGUCCUGGUCCAAGUCAAAGGGACAAGAGGGUUUUCUCUCCGGCUACAAUGAGUGAUGUUGUAAUUGUGAAGGAGGGAUGGCUACAUAAGAGAGGUAAAGUUUCUGUGAAGCUUUUCUCCAACAGAAACUGCACAAUCUGCAUAUUUAAAAACAUUUAAGACAAACAUCACUACCUGAACUUCAAAGCUGUUUGUUGCUCCCCGACAUUUUGCUAUCCUCAUUUGCACUGAGUUGAGGUUUGUUUACCACUUGACCAUCAGAGCUUCAUACUUGUGAGUGUUUAGCUCAACUUUCAUUGGAAUUAACUGAAAAUGCCCUCUUUGCUCCGCUCACUCUGCA